UCGAGCACGCGCGUGUGGCAUAUCAAUAAGCGGAGGAAAAGAAACUAACAAGGAUUCCCCUAGUAACGGCGAGUGAAGCGGGAAGAGCUCAAAUUUGAAAUCUUCAAGGUUCUACCUUGACGAAUUGUAGUUUAUAGAAUGUGUUUUCUGUUAGUAGGAGUAGGAAAAGUUCUUUGGAAUAGGACAUCAUAGAGGGUGAGAAUCCCGUAUUUGGUCAUUCCUCCUAGCGUUGUGAUACACUUUCAAAGAGUCGGAUUGUUUGGGAAUGCAGUCCAAAAUGGGUGGUAAAUUUCAUCUAAAGCUAAAUAUUGGCGAGAGACCGAUAGCGAACAAGUACCGUGAGGGAAAGAUGAAAAGAACUUUGAAAAGAGAGUUAAACAGUACGUGAAAUUGUCAAAAGGGAAGCGUUUGACACCAGUGUUGUUUUUCCGAAAAUCAAUUACGAAUGUUUUAUUUUUGAGGAGUUAUGACUUCAUCGGCUUGCUCCUUUCUUUACGAAACUUUCUUAAUGCACUUUUCGGUUAACAAGUCAACAUCAAUUUCUUUUGUUGUAAAAGGGUAUGAGGAAGGUGGCUUUCUUUUCGGAGAAAGUGUUUAUAGCCUUGUGCCUCCGCAAUCGGAGAGAUUGAGGUCUGCAGCGUAGAUCCUUCGGGGUUAGAUACGUUUGUGCUAAGUUAUAGCUUUUCAUAGACAACUUGUUGACUAUGUUUAGUCUUGUAGCUUACUCGCUGACGCUAUUUUACCUACGCUUAGGAUGUUGAUGUGAUACUGCGAGCA
Molecule: ribosomal RNA, 777 nt
Filed under: uncultured Neocallimastigales
Lineage: Eukaryota; Fungi; Neocallimastigomycota; Neocallimastigomycetes; Neocallimastigales
Description: partial large subunit ribosomal RNA
Rfam family: Eukaryotic large subunit ribosomal RNA
Source: RNAcentral